RNAcentral lists this ribosomal RNA (414 nucleotides) under Boana boans group sp. ABGD cluster 15. Its description in RNAcentral is "partial large subunit ribosomal RNA". It matches the Rfam family "Archaeal large subunit ribosomal RNA", at positions 1927 to 2490 of the family's 2987-position model. Lineage: Eukaryota; Metazoa; Chordata; Amphibia; Anura; Hylidae. The record is from RNAcentral.
CUUGAAUAAAAUAAGAGGUCCAGCCUGCCCAGUGAAAUUAUUCAACGGCCGCGGUAUCCUAACCGUGCGAAGGUAGCGUAAUCACUUGUUCUUUAAAUGAGGACUAGUAUGAAUGGCACCACGAGGGUUCUACUGUCUCCCUUUUUUAAUCAGUGAAACUAAUCUCCCCGUGAAGAAGCGGGGAUCUUUAUAUAAGACGAGAAGACCCUAUGGAGCUUUAAACAACCAACAUUUGCUACACCAUAACAUUUACCCUAAAAGAAGUAUAGCAUUAUGAUUACUAGUUUUCGAUUGGGGUGAUCACGGAGUAAAAUAUAACCUCCAUGCCGAAAGGGUUCUUACCCUGAGCAAAAAGCCACAGCUUUAAGCACUAAAAAAUUAACGCAGUUUGACCCAAUAUUUUGAUCAACGAAC